RNAcentral lists this ribosomal RNA (1126 nucleotides) under Escherichia coli. Its description in RNAcentral is "partial 23S ribosomal RNA". It matches the Rfam family "Bacterial large subunit ribosomal RNA", at positions 1 to 1165 of the family's 2925-position model. The record is from RNAcentral. Lineage: Bacteria; Pseudomonadati; Pseudomonadota; Gammaproteobacteria; Enterobacterales; Enterobacteriaceae.
GGUUAAGCGACUAAGCGUACACGGUGGAUGCCCUGGCAGUCAGAGGCGAUGAAGGACGUGCUAAUCUGCGAUAAGCGUCGGUAAGGUGAUAUGAACCGUUAUAACCGGCGAUUUCCGAAUGGGGAAACCCAGUGUGAUUCGUCACACUAUCAUUAACUGAAUCCAUAGGUUAAUGAGGCGAACCGGGGGAACUGAAACAUCUAAGUACCCCGAGGAAAAGAAAUCAACCGAGAUUCCCCCAGUAGCGGCGAGCGAACGGGGAGGAGCCCAGAGCCUGAAUCAGUGUGUGUGUUAGUGGAAGCGUCUGGAAAGGCGCGCGAUACAGGGUGACAGCCCCGUACACAAAAAUGCACAUGCUGUGAGCUCGAUGAGUAGGGCGGGACACGUGGUAUCCUGUCUGAAUAUGGGGGGACCAUCCUCCAAGGCUAAAUACUCCUGACUGACCGAUAGUGAACCAGUACCGUGAGGGAAAGGCGAAAAGAACCCCGGCGAGGGGAGUGAAAAAGAACCUGAAACCGUGUACGUACAAGCAGUGGGAGCACAGAGCAAUCUGUGUGACUGCGUACCUUUUGUAUAAUGGGUCAGCGACUUAUAUUCUGUAGCAAGGUUAACCGAAUAGGGGAGCCGAAGGGAAACCGAGUCUUAACUGGGCGUUAAGUUGCAGGGUAUAGACCCGAAACCCGGUGAUCUAGCCAUGGGCAGGUUGAAGGUUGGGUAACACUAACUGGAGGACCGAACCGACUAAUGUUGAAAAAUUAGCGGAUGACUUGUGGCUGGGGGUGAAAGGCCAAUCAAACCGGGAGAUAGCUGGUUCUCCCCGAAAGCUAUUUAGGUAGCGCCUCGUGAAUUCAUCUCCGGGGGUAGAGCACUGUUUCGGCAAGGGGGUCAUCCCGACUUACCAACCCGAUGCAAACUGCGAAUACCGGAGAAUGUUAUCACGGGAGACACACGGCGGGUGCUAACGUCCGUCGUGAAGAGGGAAACAACCCAGACCGCCAGCUAAGGUCCCAAAGUCAUGGUUAAGUGGGAAACGAUGUGGGAAGGCCCAGACAGCCAGGAUGUUGGCUUAGAAGCAGCCAUCAUUUAAAGAAAGCGUAAUAGCUCACUGGUCGAGUCGGCCUGCGCG